ACUGGGCUUGGUGGCCCAUGCCUGUAAUCUUAGCAAUCAGGUGGCUGAGAUAGGAGGAUUGCAAGUCUGAAUUCAGUCUCAGCAAUUUAGUGAGACUUCAGCAACUUAGCAAGAUCCUGUCUCAA
RNAcentral lists this small RNA (125 nucleotides) under Marmota monax (woodchuck). The record is from RNAcentral. Lineage: Eukaryota; Metazoa; Chordata; Mammalia; Rodentia; Sciuridae.